Long non-coding RNA from Oncorhynchus kisutch (coho salmon), 412 nucleotides. RefSeq lists it as uncharacterized. NCBI's taxonomy places the organism in Eukaryota, Metazoa, Chordata, Actinopteri, Salmoniformes, Salmonidae. The transcript is spliced from 3 exons. The record is from RefSeq and is a predicted model, not a curated record.
GAAAAAGUAUUUCACUACCACCAAGCUACUUCGGAAAAAGUGAUCAUAUCUACAUCGGAAGUGUCAUAGACUACAAAUUGCAAGACAGAUCACUUUGGUCAGGUGUUAACAGACUGUGUAAUUAGACCAUUAAACACAAAAACGAUGUUUCAAGUGAGAAUUAUGCAGGUCUGAUGCUGAAAAAGCCACUUUCUGUGUGGGAACAACCUCUGUGAGAAGGAGGAGGACCUGAAGAGCUGGGAGGUGAACUUUGCCCAUGUGGAGCAGGGAGAGAAGAGAAACACACAGGUCAAACUCAGAGAAAGGAGGUGAUCGCCAAGAAAAAAAGACAAGUCGUCUGAGGAAAAUCAAGUUGAGCCACAGGCAAAAAGAUCCAAGAAAGCAGAGACAAACAUCACGAGGAGACACAAAG